CGACCCCAGGUCAGGCGGGGCCACCCGCCGAGCUUAAGCAUAUCAAUAAGCGGAGGAGGAGAAACUUACGAGGAUUCCCCUAGUAACGGCGAGCGAACCGGGACCAGCCCAGCUUGAGAAUCGGGCGGCUGCGCCGCUCGAAUUGUAGUCUGGGGAAGCGUCCUCAGCGGCGGACCGGGCCCGAGUCCCCUGGAAAGGGGCGCCCGGGAGGGUGAGAGCCCCGUCCGGCCCGGACCCUGCCGCACCACGAGGCGCUGUCGGCGAGUCGGGCUGUUUGGGAAUGCAGCCCCAAUCGGGCGGUAAAUUCCGUCCAAGA
This 316-nucleotide ribosomal RNA is filed under the name Calamus luteus. RNAcentral's name for it is "eukaryotic LSU rRNA". It matches the Rfam family "Eukaryotic large subunit ribosomal RNA", at positions 1 to 315 of the family's 3401-position model. RNAcentral also lists the same sequence under 4 other names. The record is from RNAcentral. Lineage: Eukaryota; Viridiplantae; Streptophyta; Magnoliopsida; Arecales; Arecaceae.